This 482-nucleotide ribosomal RNA is filed under the name uncultured bacterium. RNAcentral's name for it is "partial 16S ribosomal RNA". It matches the Rfam family "Bacterial small subunit ribosomal RNA", at positions 28 to 507 of the family's 1533-position model. The record is from RNAcentral.
GAUGAACGCUCGCGGCAGGCCUAAUACAUGCGAGUCGGACGGGAUUCAGGAGCUUGCUUCUGAUGAGAGUGGCGCACGGGUGCGUAACACGUAUGUAACCUACCUUUAUCAGGGGGAUAGCCUCUCGAAAGAGAGAUUAAGCCCGCAUAAAAUCACAGCACAGCAUUGUGUAAUGAUCAAAUAUUUAUAGGAUAAAGAUGGGCAUGCGGAACAUUAGCUAGAUGGCGGGGUAACGGCCCACCAUGGCGACGAUGUUUAGGGGAUCUGAGAGGAUGGCCCCCCACACUGGUACUGAGACACGGACCAGACUCCUACGGGAGGCAGCAGUAAGGAAUAUUGGUCAAUGGGCGGAAGCCUGAACCAGCCAUGCCGCGUGCAGGAAGACGGCCCUACGGGUUGUAAACUGCUUUUAUACGGGAAUAAACCCAGAUACGUGUAUCUGGCUGAAUGUACUGUAAGAAUAAGGAUCGGCUAACUCCGUG